RNAcentral lists this long non-coding RNA (1268 nucleotides) under Capra hircus (goat). Its description in RNAcentral is "lncRNA (ENSCHIG00010004251.1)". Lineage: Eukaryota; Metazoa; Chordata; Mammalia; Artiodactyla; Bovidae. The record is from RNAcentral.
UUCUGCUUCCACUCAGCCCUGCAUCCUUCCUUCGACCCUGGGCCCAGCAUCCGGGCACUUCCUGCAUCCCCCAGGCUUUCUGUGUCUCGGAGCCGAGUUCCUUGGUUAGUGACCCCUCCGCACCGCCUUGCCCCCAGAUAGUUACCAGCCUCUCCCCAUCUCUACUGCCUCCGCGGUCUUUCUGCAUUAAAGAGGCUAGUCUCUCAUCUAACGUGCAUGAAUGGAGUUCCACAUAAUGUUGCCAUUCGAAGGGCAACUGCGCUCUGAACUCCUAAGACGCAUUUCUUUCUCUCUCUCCCUUCUGUCUGCCGCGCUUCUCUCAUCCUUCACCCUUUCCUUCACUAUCUGUUUCUUCUUCCCUUCUCUGAGAAUUUCCUGGUGGUCCAGUGAUUAGGACUGUGCACUUGCAUUGCAGGGGGCAGCGGUUUGAUCCCUGGUCGGGAAACUAAAUCAGCAUGCCACUGGGCAUGGUCAAUAUAUAUAUGUAUCUUUUUCCCAUCUCUGAUUCCAGACCCAGGCUUCCUUGACUGCAUUCUUCAUAUGCUUUGUGCUCCCUUUUUCCCCUUCUUUUUUUAACCCAGUUUCCUCUACCCAGGGUGGCCUCCUCUUCCCACCUACUGUUUAUCUUCUUGUCUUCUUGUCCCACCUGCCUUGAUUGCUUCAUCCCUAUUAAUUUUCUCCUCUUGUCCCUACUUCAGGCUCCACCCCAAUCUUUCUCUUUCCCUCAACCUGCUUUCUUGGGUGCUUUCUUCCUCCUCCUCCCUUUGCUCCCACUAACUGCCUCUCAGGAGCCCCAUUCAUAUUUCUCCAUCCACUCCUGCCAUUUCCUAAAAGGUAUUCCAAUGAAAGGUACACAGUGUUUCAACUGUUCAGCUUGAGGCUAUUUCCUGAUUCCUGGUGUAUGGUAAUGCUUUAAUGUGACAGGGAGCCCUCUGCUUGCUGAAGAGGUAUUUAUCUCUUUCCUGUUAGGUUAAAAAGUAAAUUGUAAUUAUGCUGCAGUUUCAGUUGAUCACCAUGUAGGACCUGUCCAUGGAGUGACCAGACGUCAGCUCUCACAGCUACCUAGAGUUGUGUCUGCAUUGGCUUUCCAGAUCCAGUUCCAGAUUCCUCAUUUACUACCUUCUAGUUGAGAACUCUCAAAUCUAGAUCUCCAGCAAAGACUGGAGCUUCUCAUCUGCAUUUCCUCCUUGCUGGACAACUCCACUUGGAUUUCCUUCAGAGACCUCAAAUUCCACCCUACCCCAAAAUAAACUCAUUUAUCUUCCCUC